AAAAUUUGAUUUUAAAUUUAAUAUAGUAAUUAAUAAAUAUAAAAAUAAAUUUAUAGAAAUUAAAAAUUAUA
This 71-nucleotide transfer RNA is filed under the name Vespula rufa. RNAcentral's name for it is "tRNA-Val". Lineage: Eukaryota; Metazoa; Arthropoda; Insecta; Hymenoptera; Vespidae. The record is from RNAcentral.